UCCUUCUUAGCUCAGUUGGUAGAGCGCGUCACUAGUAUAUAUCUUAUAUGGUAUGACGAGGUCAGUCGUUCAAGUCGGCUAGAAGGAA
Non-coding RNA from Lentinula novae-zelandiae, 88 nucleotides. The record is from the annotation of a GenBank genome assembly. Lineage: Eukaryota; Fungi; Basidiomycota; Agaricomycetes; Agaricales; Omphalotaceae.